This 241-nucleotide ribosomal RNA is filed under the name uncultured bacterium. RNAcentral describes it as "partial 16S ribosomal RNA". It matches the Rfam family "Bacterial small subunit ribosomal RNA", at positions 524 to 765 of the family's 1533-position model. The record is from RNAcentral.
UACGUAGGGUGCGAGCGUUAAUCGGAAUUACUGGGCGUAAAGCGUGCGCAGGCGGUUGUGCAAGACAGAUGUGAAAUCCCCGGGCUUAACCUGGGAAUUGCAUUUGUGACUGCACGGCUAGAGUGUGGUCAGAGGGAGGUAGAAUUCCACGUGUAGCAGUGAAAUGCGUAGAUAUGUGGAGGAAUACCGAUGGCGAAGGCAGCCUCCUGGGAUAACACUGACGUCAUGCACGAAGCGUGGG